This 527-nucleotide ribosomal RNA is filed under the name uncultured bacterium. Its description in RNAcentral is "bacterial SSU rRNA". It matches the Rfam family "Bacterial small subunit ribosomal RNA", at positions 984 to 1509 of the family's 1533-position model. The record is from RNAcentral.
ACAUCCAGAGAAUUUAGCAGAGAUGCUUUUAGUGCCUUCGGGAACUCUGAGACAGGUGCUGCAUGGCUGUCGUCAGCUCGUGUUGUGAAAUGUUGGGUUAAGUCCCGNAACGAGCGCAACCCUUAUCCUUUGUUGCCAGCACGUAAUGGUGGGAACUCAAAGGAGACUGCCGGUGAUAAACCGGAGGAAGGUGGGGAUGACGUCAAGUCAUCAUGGCCCUUACGAGUAGGGCUACACACGUGCUACAAUGGCGCAUACAAAGAGAAGCGACCUCGCGAGAGCAAGCGGACCUCAUAAAGUGCGUCGUAGUCCGGAUUGGAGUCUGCAACUCGACUCCAUGAAGUCGGAAUCGCUAGUAAUCGUAAAUCAGAAUGUUACGGUGAAUACGUUCCCGGGCCCUGUACACACCGCCCGUCACACCAUGGGAGUGGGUUGCAAAAGAAGUAGAUAGCUUAACCUUCGGGAGGGCGUUUACCACUUUGUGAUUCAUGACUGGGGUGAAGUCGUAACAAGGUAGGCGUAGUGCU